Long non-coding RNA from Juglans microcarpa x Juglans regia, 241 nucleotides. RefSeq lists it as uncharacterized. The record is from RefSeq and is a predicted model, not a curated record. NCBI's taxonomy places the organism in Eukaryota, Viridiplantae, Streptophyta, Magnoliopsida, Fagales, Juglandaceae. The transcript has 3 exons.
GGAGAACCGAAACAAGCAGGCCAUUAACCACACAUCAGGACGUAAAUCAUUCGUCCGAUUACUUGAGCAAAAGCGCAAUGAGAAUGGAAAUUUGGUCGACUUCUACAAAGAGACGCGUUGGUCGAAGAAAAAGAAUGCAUUUGUCACAGAAGCUACAGAAAGUACUUAUAAGGAGAUGCAAGGUAGGUUGGAUGGCCUAGGACCAGAGCAAUGUAGUGAUGAGGCAGCAGUGAUUGUCUUU